UGGGGAAUCUUGGACAAUGGGGGCAACCCUGAUCCAGCCAUGCCGCGUGAGUGAUGAAGGCCUUAGGGUCGUAAAGCUCUUUCGCCUGUGAAGAUAAUGACGGUAGCAGGUAAAGAAACCCCGGCUAACUCCGUGCCAGCAGCCGCGGUAAUACGGAGGGGGUUAGCGUUGUUCGGAAUUACUGGGCGUAAAGCGCACGUAGGCGGACCAGAAAGUUGGGGGUGAAAUCCCGGGGGCUCAACCCCGGAACUGCCUCCAAAACUAUUGGUCUAGAGUUCGAGAGAGGUGAGUGGAAUUCCAAGUGUAGAGGUGAAAUUCGUAGAUAUUCGGUGGAACACCAGUGGCGAAGGCGACUCGCUGGUCCGGUACUGACGCUGAGGUGCGAAAGGCGUGGGGGAGCAAACAGGAUUAGAUACCCUGGUGUCCACACCGUAAAACGAUGAAUGCCAGUCGUCGGGGUAGCAUGCUA
This 469-nucleotide ribosomal RNA is filed under the name uncultured bacterium. RNAcentral describes it as "bacterial SSU rRNA". It matches the Rfam family "Bacterial small subunit ribosomal RNA", at positions 355 to 837 of the family's 1533-position model. The record is from RNAcentral.